UAGGGAAUCUUCCACAAUGGACGCAAGUCUGAUGGAGCAACGCCGCGUGAGUGAAGAAGGUUUUCGGACCGUAAAGCUCUGUUGUUGGUGAAGAAGGAUAGAGGUAGUAACUGGCCUUUAUUUGACGGUAAUCAACCAGAAAGUCACGGCUAACUACGUGCCAGCAGCCGCGGUAAUACGUAGGUGGCAAGCGUUGUCCGGAUUUAUUGGGCGUAAAGCGAGCGCAGGCGGAAGAAUAAGUCUGAUGUGAAAGUCCUCGGCUUAACCGAGGAAUUGCAUCGGAAACUGUUUUUCUUGAGUGCAGAAGAGGAGAGUAGAACUCCAUGUGUAGCGGUGGAAUGCGUAGAUAUAUGGAAGAAUACCAGUGGCGAAGGCGGCUCUCUGGUCUGCAACUGACGCUGAGGCUCGAAAGCAUGGGUAGCGAACAGGAUUAGAUACCCUGGUAGUCCAUGCCGUAAACGAUGAGUGCUAAGUGUUGGGAGGCUUCCGCCUCUCAGUGCUGCAGCUAACGCAUUAAGCACUCCGCCUGGGGGAGUACGACCGCAAGGUUGAAAC
This 555-nucleotide ribosomal RNA is filed under the name uncultured bacterium. Its description in RNAcentral is "partial 16S ribosomal RNA". It matches the Rfam family "Bacterial small subunit ribosomal RNA", at positions 355 to 900 of the family's 1533-position model. The record is from RNAcentral.